GACGAACGCUGGCGGCGUGCUUAACACAUGCAAGUCGAACGGAAAGGCCCUGCUUUUGUGGGGUGCUCGAGUGGCGAACGGGUGAGUAACACGUGAGUAACCUGCCCUUGACUUUGGGAUAACUUCAGGAAACUGGGGCUAAUACCGGGUAGGAGCUCCUGCUGCAUGGUGGGGGUUGGAAAGUUUCGGCGGUUGGGGAUGGACUCGCGGGUUAUCCGCUGGUUGGGGGGGUAGUGGUUUACCAAGGCUUUGACGGGUAGCCGGCCUGGGAGGGUGACCGGCCACAAUGGGACUGAGAUACGGAGCAGACUCCUACGGGAGGCAGCAGUGGGGAAUAUUGCACAAUGGGCGGAAGCCUGAUGCAGCAACGUCGCGUGCGGGAUGACGGCCUUCGGGUGGUAAACCGCUUUCGCCUGUGACGAAGCGUGAGUGACGGUAAUGGGUAAAGAAGCACCGGCUAACUACGUG
Molecule: ribosomal RNA, 468 nt
Filed under: uncultured bacterium
Lineage: Bacteria
Description: partial 16S ribosomal RNA
Rfam family: Bacterial small subunit ribosomal RNA
Source: RNAcentral